RNAcentral lists this ribosomal RNA (294 nucleotides) under uncultured Enterobacteriaceae bacterium. Its description in RNAcentral is "partial 16S ribosomal RNA". It matches the Rfam family "Bacterial small subunit ribosomal RNA", at positions 524 to 819 of the family's 1533-position model. The record is from RNAcentral. Lineage: Bacteria; Pseudomonadati; Pseudomonadota; Gammaproteobacteria; Enterobacterales; Enterobacteriaceae.
UACGGAGGGUGCAAGCGUUAAUCGGAAUUACUGGGCGUAAAGCGCCCGCAGGCGGUCUGUUAAGUCAGAUGUGAAAUCCCCGGGCUCAACCUGGGAACUGCAUUGAAACUGGCAAGCUUGAGUCUUGUAGAGGGGGGUAGAAUUCCAGGUGUAGCGGUGAAAUGCGUAGAGAUCUGGAGGAAUACCGGUGGCGAAGGCGGCCCCCUGGACAAAGACUGACGCUCAGGUGCGAAGCGUGGGGAGCAAACAGGAUUAGAUACCCUGGUAGUCCACGCUGUAAACGAUGUCGAUCUU